RNAcentral lists this ribosomal RNA (274 nucleotides) under uncultured bacterium. Its description in RNAcentral is "partial 16S ribosomal RNA". It matches the Rfam family "Bacterial small subunit ribosomal RNA", at positions 523 to 796 of the family's 1533-position model. The record is from RNAcentral.
AUACGGAGGGUGCAAGCGUUAAUCGGAAUUACUGGGCGUAAAGCGCGCGUAGGCGGUUAUUUAAGUCAGAUGUGAAAGCCCUGGGCUCAACCUGGGAACUGCAUUUGAAACUGGGUAACUAGAGUUUGGUAGAGGGUAGUGGAAUUCCGGGUGUAGCGGUGAAAUGCGUAGAUAUCCGGAGGAACACCAGUGGCGAAGGCGGCUACCUGGACCAGAACUGACGCUGAGGUGCGAAAGCGUGGGGAGCAAACAGGAUUAGAUACCCCAGUAGUCC